Molecule: ribosomal RNA, 501 nt
Filed under: uncultured bacterium
Lineage: Bacteria
Description: bacterial SSU rRNA
Rfam family: Bacterial small subunit ribosomal RNA
Source: RNAcentral
AGAGUUUGAUCAUGGCUCAGAUUGAACGCUGGCGGCAUGCCUUACACAUGCAAGUCGAACGGUAACGGGCCUCGGGUGCCGACGAGUGGCGAACGGGUGAGUAAUGCAUCGGAACGUACCUUUCAGUGGGGGAUAACGUAGCGAAAGUUACGCUAAUACCGCAUAUUCUGUGAGCAGGAAAGCAGGGGAUCGCAAGACCUUGCGCUGAUUGAGCGGCCGAUGUCAGAUUAGCUAGUUGGUGAGGUAAAGGCUCACCAAGGCGACGAUCUGUAGCGGGUCUGAGAGGAUGAUCCGCCACACUGGAACUGAGACACGGUCCAGACUCCUACGGGAGGCAGCAGUGGGGAAUUUUGGACAAUGGGGGCAACCCUGAUCCAGCCAUGCCGCGUGAGUGAAGAAGGCCUUCGGGUUGUAAAGCUCUUUCGGCCGGGAAGAAAUCGCAUGGGUUAAUACCCUGUGCGGAUGACGGUACCGGCAUAAGAAGCACCGGCUAACUACGUG